This is a transfer RNA of Lipomyces starkeyi NRRL Y-11557, 72 nucleotides long. It matches the Rfam family "tRNA". From Rfam's summary of the family: Transfer RNA (tRNA) molecules are approximately 80 nucleotides in length. Their secondary structure includes four short double-helical elements and three loops (D, anti-codon, and T loops). The record is from Rfam. NCBI's taxonomy places the organism in Eukaryota, Fungi, Ascomycota, Lipomycetes, Lipomycetales, Lipomycetaceae.
AGCGAUGUGGCGCAGCGGAAGCGCGCAGGGCUCAUAACCCUGAUGUCCUUGGAUCGAAACCAAGUAUCGCUA